GUUUGAUUAUGGCUCAGAUUGAACGCUGGCGGGAUGCUUUACACAUGCAAGUCGAACGGCAGCACGGACUUCGGUCUGGUGGCGAGUGGCGAACGGGUGAGUAAUGUAUCGGAACGUGCCUAGUAGCGGGGGAUAACUACGCUGAAAGCAGUAAAGCAAUACCGCAUACGCUCCCUGGGGGAAAGCGGACCUUCGGGCCUCGCACUAUUAGAGCGGCCGAUAUCGGAUUAGCUAGUUGGUGGGUAACGGCUCACCAUGCUAUCGAUCCGUAGCUGGUUUGAGAGGACGACCAGCCACACUGGGACUGAGACACGGCCCAGACUCCUACGGGAGGCAGCAGGGGAAUUUUGGACAAUGGGGGAAACCCUGAUCCAGCCAUCCCGCGUGUGCGAUGAAGUACCUUCGGGUUGUAAAGCACUUUUUGGCAGGAAAGAAACGGCACGGGAUAAUACCCCGUGCAACUGACGGUACCUGCAGAAUAAGCACCGCAAUAACUACGUGCCAGCAGCCGCGGUAAUACGUAGGGUGCAAGCGUUAAUCGGAAUUGAUUGGGCGUAAAGCGUGCGCAGGCGGUUCGGAAAGAAAGAUGUAAAAUCCCAGAGCUUAACUUUGGAACUGCAUUUUUAACUACCGAGCUAGAGUGUGUCAGAGGGAGGUGGAAUUCCGCGUGUAGUAAGUGAAACGUGUGAUAUGCAGAGGAACACCGAUGGCGAAGGCAGCCUCCUGGGAUAACACUGACGCUCAUGCACGAAAGCGUGGGGAGCAACAGAUGAUGCACCUGGUAGUCCACGCCCUAAACGAUGUCAACUAGCUGUUGGGGCCUUCGGGCCUUGGUAGCGCAGCUAACGCGUGAAGUUGACCGUCCGGGGAGUACGGUCGCAAGAUUAAAACUCAAAGGAAUUGACGGGGACCCGCAGGCGGUGGAUGAUGUGGAUUAAUUGAUGCAACGCGAAAAACCUUACCUACCCUUGACAUGUCUGGAAUCCCGAAGAGAUUUGGGAGUGCUCGUAAGAGAACCGGAACACAGGUGCUGCAUACGGCUGUCGUCAGCUCGCCGUGAGAUGCCGGGUUAAGUCCCGCAACGAGCGCAACCUUGUCAUUAGUUGCUACGAAAGGGCACUCUAAUGAGACUGCCGGUGACAAACCGGAGGAAGGUGGGGAUGACGUCAAGUCCUCAUGGCCCUUAUGGGUAGGGCUUCACACGUCAUACAAUGGUCGGGACAGAGGGUCGCCAACCCGCGAGGGGGGAGCCAAUCCCAGAAACCGACUGUAGUCCGGAUCGCAGUCUGCAACUCGACUGCGUGAAGUCGGAAUCGCUAGUGAAUCGCGGAUCAGCAUGUCGCGUGAAUACGUUCCCGGGUCUUGUACACACCGCCCGUCACACCAUGGGAGGUGGGGUUUUACCAGAAGUAGUUAGCCUAACCGUAAGGAGGGCGAUUACCACGGUAGGAUUCAUGACUGGGGUGAAGUCGUAACAAGGUAA
Molecule: ribosomal RNA, 1483 nt
Filed under: uncultured Bordetella sp.
Lineage: Bacteria; Pseudomonadati; Pseudomonadota; Betaproteobacteria; Burkholderiales; Alcaligenaceae
Description: partial 16S-23S ribosomal RNA intergenic spacer
Rfam family: Bacterial small subunit ribosomal RNA
Source: RNAcentral